GAUCGCAUAGCUCAGUUGGUUAGAGCGCUGCUCUGAUAAGGCAGAGGUCCCAGGUUCGAAUCCUGGUGCGAUCA
Molecule: transfer RNA, 74 nt
Filed under: archaeon
Lineage: Archaea
Also listed under: 1 other name
Description: tRNA-Ile
Rfam family: tRNA
About the family: Transfer RNA (tRNA) molecules are approximately 80 nucleotides in length. Their secondary structure includes four short double-helical elements and three loops (D, anti-codon, and T loops).
Source: RNAcentral